GCACUGCUGAAGAGUCCCACAACAGGACGAAACGGCCGUCCAAUGC
RNAcentral lists this non-coding RNA (46 nucleotides) under Schistosoma mansoni. The record is from RNAcentral. Lineage: Eukaryota; Metazoa; Platyhelminthes; Trematoda; Strigeidida; Schistosomatidae.